Molecule: small RNA, 27 nt
Filed under: Bombyx mori (domestic silkworm)
Lineage: Eukaryota; Metazoa; Arthropoda; Insecta; Lepidoptera; Bombycidae
Description: ovarian small RNA-31658
Source: RNAcentral
UGACCUUCACCGGGGGGAGGCCGCUAC